RNAcentral lists this ribosomal RNA (278 nucleotides) under Curvularia beasleyi. Its description in RNAcentral is "partial large subunit ribosomal RNA". It matches the Rfam family "Eukaryotic large subunit ribosomal RNA", at positions 1 to 275 of the family's 3401-position model. The record is from RNAcentral. Lineage: Eukaryota; Fungi; Ascomycota; Dothideomycetes; Pleosporales; Pleosporaceae.
UUGACCUCGGAUCAGGUAGGGAUACCCGCUGAACUUAAGCAUAUCAAUAAGCGGAGGAAAAGAAACCAACAGGGAUUUCCCUAGUAACGGCGAGUGAAGCGGCAACAGCUCAAAUUUGAAAUCUGGCUCUUUCAGAGUCCCAGUUGUAAUUUGCAGAGGGCGCUUUGGCUUUGGCAGCGGUCCAAGUUCCUUGGAACAGGACGUCACAGAGGGUGAGAAUCCCCUACGUGGUCGCUAGCUAUUGCCGGGUAAAACCCCUUCGACGAAUCAAGUUGUUU